UCAAAAGUUGAACAAACAGAAAUUAGAGCUCCGUCACCCCGCACCAAUUGACCGGUCACCGCUGCUGCGUCGCCGUGCCUGUUUGCUCCUCUGUCGCUGCGCUGCCGCUGCUGCCACGAAUCCGCCAUCGCGAAUCCACCGCCGUCGGCUCCUCCUUGCAUCAUCUCCUCUCUCUCGGAUCUGCCGCCACCGCGGAUCCGCCUCCGUCGCCCAGCCACCAUCCAAGCCGCCAUCGCCGUCAAACGCUGGGAGACGCUGCUGCUGGCCGCGUCCAUGCCCUCUGCGGUCGCCACGGGUCUGCUCGCUGUUCGAACAGCCCCGAAACGACACCGCGCAGCCCCGAAACCAAUCCGAACCAACCGCAAUGUUACGAGAUGCACAAAAUUGAGGCUAUUAUAGAGGAAUUGAGGUACCUUUGGAGAGGAGAAAUUGUCUAGCAGCAAAAGGAAUUGUAUUCACGGCAGUUUGGUUGUUUGUUUUUUUCCUUCCUCUCAAACUGUGAUGUCAAGCAAAUUGUGGCAGUAGUUAGUAGAUUGCGAUUUUGCACUCGCCGAUCAUUCAAAGAUUUGGAAUUGAAUUUGAAGGGGUUAUACCUUUUGUUUGAUCGAGCA
Salvia splendens (bonfire salvia) is the source of this 611-nucleotide long non-coding RNA. RefSeq lists it as uncharacterized. Lineage: Eukaryota; Viridiplantae; Streptophyta; Magnoliopsida; Lamiales; Lamiaceae. The transcript has 2 exons. The record is from RefSeq and is a predicted model, not a curated record.